This 388-nucleotide ribosomal RNA is filed under the name uncultured Alphaproteobacteria bacterium. Its description in RNAcentral is "bacterial SSU rRNA". It matches the Rfam family "Bacterial small subunit ribosomal RNA", at positions 9 to 426 of the family's 1533-position model. The record is from RNAcentral. Lineage: Bacteria; Pseudomonadati; Pseudomonadota; Alphaproteobacteria.
GAGUUUGAUCCUGGCUCAGAACGAACGCUGGCGGCAGGCCUAACACAUGCAAGUUGAACGAUGUAGCAAUACAGAGUAGCGCACGGGUGCGUAACGCGUGGGAAUAUGCCCUUCACUACGGAACAACGUUUGGAAACGAACGCUAAUACCGUAUAAUGACUUCGGUCCAAAGAUUUAUCGGUGAAGGAUUAGCCCGCGUCUGAUUAGCUAGUUGGUGAGGUAAUGGCUCACCAAGGCGACGAUCAGUAGCUGGUCUGAGAGGAUGAUCAGCCACACUGGGACUGAGACACGGCCCAGACUCCUACGGGAGGCAGCAGUGAGGAAUAUUGGACAAUGGGGGCAACCCUGAUCCAGCCAUGCCGCGUGAGUGAUGAAGGCCUUCGGUUGU